This 2707-nucleotide ribosomal RNA is filed under the name freshwater metagenome. Its description in RNAcentral is "bacterial LSU rRNA". It matches the Rfam family "Bacterial large subunit ribosomal RNA", at positions 573 to 2736 of the family's 2925-position model. The record is from RNAcentral.
UCGGAAGAUAUUCGUGCCGCAGGCCGUGGCAUAAAGAUGAUACGCCGUGCCUUCUCAAUGAACUUUUCGGCUUCUUCGGCGUCGUAUUGGGUUACGAUGCUCACGAUGUCCCGCACACCGGGACUGCCUACGGUCAAGUAAUGCUUCUUUGCUUCAAAGAAGUGCAUGUACACUUGGGCUUGUGCGUAAUAAACAUAGUCCCAGUUCUUCAAAGCAUCAACAUCGCCCCUUAAAGACUUGAGCGAAACCAGUUUUUUGUACUUGGCUUCGUUGGAUAUCUUGCACUCCCAAACAUAAAGCGUUUCGGGGUCUUGCAACAAUCCGGUCAGCAGUCCGUCGCAGUUGCCGCGAAAGUGACCGCCAAUCGAUUCAAAAGAGUGCUGGACACCGGGUUCCUUUUCCGUGGAAAGAUCGACAGACGGAACAGUCUUCAACAGCAUCGCAAUGAUGUGUUCGCCUCGAUGGCCAUCGUUGAUUCUUCGCAGCCCAGCGGCGUCAAUAAACCCGUUUUUAACCCAUCGGAAAUUAAGCCAGAGUUUUCGUUCGCAACUGUCGCCGAUGGCUGAUGCGCCCAAAUAAGGUCGAGUGCGGGUUUCUUGGUUUGAUUCCAUGAUGGAAUCUAUUGCCCUCAAAGUGGGGUCUUCAAUCUCGGGAAGCUUGACCAUUGUCAAUAAUCUCCACUUCUGAUUCUGUUUCUAUCCAUACUCGCGCUCCACAAGACAAUGGUUUAUCAGGUGAAUACACCACUUUUGAUGGCCCUUUAAUGGAAACUUCGUAAGCAUAAGUAUUUGACUUGUAAUUUUUUACGGUCAACACCGGGUCAUUAAUUCCUUCUUUUUUAUUCUUUCUUAUAACAUGUUGAUUUACAUGAAUAAUCGUUUUCAUAUGCUCUCCGAAGACGCGCGACACCCGACUGGUUUUUGGGGGGUUGGGCUAGACAUCUAGCCGGGUGCCGCGCUUUUUUACUUCUUAAAACGCUCCCAAGGCUUGGGCUUCGGUGCUGACUCUGGGGCCGCUGCCACCGUUUCCUUGGCGCCGUUCGCGCUUUGGUAAGCCGCCCGAGUUUCCAACUGACCCUGCUUGUUUCCCAGUCACGAUAGGGUUGAGUUGAAAAUGUAAUGGGGUUUAAGUUUAGUGUUGAAGUUUUGGGUUAUGCAUGUUUUGAUAUGCAUGGUGGUAGGGGAGUGUUUUAAUAGUAGUGAAGUAUGAUUGUAAGGGUGUGUGGAGUGGUUGGAAGUGUUGAUGUUGAAAUGAGUAGUGAUAAAGGGUGUGAGAAAUACCCUUGUUGUAAAUUUAAGGUUUUUUGGGGUAGGUUAAUCCUUUUAGGGUUAGCCGGUUUUUAAGCCGAGGCCGAAAGGCGUAGGUGAUGGGAAGUAGGUUAAUAUUCCUGUGUUAUUUUAUAGAUGUUGAAUUGAGGAGUGAUGGAGAAGGUUAGGUGGGUUGGGUGUUGGAUGUUUUGGUUUAAAGUUGUAGGGGUGUUUUGUAUGAUGAAAAGGUGAGGUAGUUAUUUUUGAGAGUUGAAUGUGAGUGUGUAAGUGUGAAGUUGUUGAUAUUAUGUUUUUAAGAAAAAUUUUGUAGGGAGUCUAUAGGGUGUUUGUAUUGUAAAUUGAUUUAGGUGGGUGAGGAGAAAAUUUUAAGGUGAUUGAGAGAAUUUUUUUUUAAGGAAUUAGGUAAAUUGAUAUUGUAAUUUUGGAAGAAGGUGUGUUUUUUGUAGGUGUAGAUGAAUAAUUGAAGUUGAGAAGGGUUGUAGAGAAAUGGUGGUAGUGAUUGUUUAUCAAAAAUAUAGGACUCUGUGAAGGCGAUAAGCCGAUGUAUAGGGUCUGAUUUUUGUCUGGUGUUGGAAGGUUAAGGGGAUUUGUUAGUUGUAAGGUGAAGUGAUGAUUUGAAGUUUUAGUAAAUUGUGGUUGUAAUAAUAAUGGUUUUAAGGUAGUGAAAUUUCUUGUUGGGUAAGUUUUGAUCUGUAUGAAUGGAGUAAUGAUUUCUGCACUGUUUUGGAGAGGGAUUUAGUGAAAUUGAAAUAGUUGUGUUGAUGUAGUUUAUUUGUAGAAAUAUGGAAAGAUUUUGUGAAUUUUUAUUAUAAUUUGAUAGUGACACUAGGGAUUGAUUGUGUAGAAUAGGUGGGAGUUUUUGAAGUUGGGUUGUUAGGUUUGGUGGAGGUAAUAGUGAAAUAUUAUUUUGUUGAUUUCUGGUGUUUAAUUGUGUCCCAUUAAUUGGGAUUGGGAUAUUGUUUGGUGGGUAGUUUGAUUGGGGUGGUUGUUUUUUAAAGAGUAAUGGAGGUGUGUGAUGGUUCCCUUAGUUUGAUUGGAAAUUGGGUGUUGAGUGUAAUGGUAUAAGGGAGCUUGAUUGUGAGAUUGAUAGGUUGAGUAGGUGUGAAAGUAGGUUAUAGUGAUUUGGUGGUUUUGAAUGGAAGGGUUAUUGUUUAAUGGAUAAAAGGUAUUUUGGGGAUAAUAGGUUUAUCUCCCCUAAGAGUUUAUAUUGAUGGGGAGGUUUGGUAUUUUGAUGUUGGUUUAUUGUAUUUUGGGGUUGGAGUAGGUUUUAAGGGUUUGGUUGUUUGUUAAUUAAAGUGGUAUGUGAGUUGGGUUUAAAAUGUUGUGAGAUAGUUUGGUUUCUAUUUUCUGUGGGUGUAGGAUAUUUGAGAGGUUUUGAUUUUAGUAUGAGAGGAUUGGGUUGGAGAUAUUUUUGGUGUAUUAGUUGUUAUGUUAGUGGU